RNAcentral lists this ribosomal RNA (322 nucleotides) under uncultured eukaryote. RNAcentral describes it as "partial 18S ribosomal RNA". It matches the Rfam family "Eukaryotic small subunit ribosomal RNA", at positions 1470 to 1796 of the family's 1831-position model. The record is from RNAcentral.
CCCUUAGAUGUUCUGGGCCGCACGCGUGCUACACUGAGUGGAUCAGCGGGUCAGGUUGCGCGAAAGUGUUUCCUAAUCUUGAAAUCCGCUCAUGAUGGGGAUUGACGGUUGCAAUUUUCCGUCAUGAACGAGGAAUACCUUGUAAGCGCGGGUCAUCAUCCCGCGCUGAAUACGUCCCUGCCCUUUGUACACACCGCCCGUCGCUCCUACCGAUUGAGUGGUCCGGUGAGGCUUUGGGAUCUGAGCGGAAAGAGCGUUUCGCUGUUUCUGCUCGGAAAACUCAGUCGAACCUUAUCAUUUAGAGGAAGGAGAAGUCGUAACA